CACGAACAUGUAGUAGAGGUUCCACAUCAGCAUCGACAGCAGUGGCAGAAACGUCAGGCCGUAGCCGAAGCCUCGGAAGGAGCGGCCCACGGCAAAGACCAGUGUGCUUUUCUUGGAGAAAGAAGAAAAGAAGAAAGAAGGAAGAAGAAGAAGAAAGAAAGGAGGAAGAAGGAAGAAGAAGAGCCAGUGUGAUAAUACAUUGAGUGAUUUUUUAAAAAGUGCAUAUAUGAGCAAAAAGUUAUUUUUCCCUUUUCUGAAGUAUGGCAGCAUACUAUAUAGACUGUCUCUGCAUGUUUAUUUUUCCCCCAUUUAAUAUAUCC
Molecule: long non-coding RNA, 320 nt
Filed under: Homo sapiens (human)
Lineage: Eukaryota; Metazoa; Chordata; Mammalia; Primates; Hominidae
Description: HSALNT0015814
Source: RNAcentral